GCCAGGCGUGUUGAGGCACACCUAUAACUUCUGAUAUCAGAGAGAGACUAAGGCUAAUGGAUCUCUUGAGCUCAGAAAUUCUUAGCUGCAGCGAGCUAAGCCAGUAGAGCAUCCAUACUAAGUCCACUGCCAAUAUGGUGAGCUCCCAGGAGUGGGGGGCCACCAGGCUGCCCAAGAAGGGGCAAACCAUUCUAGAUUGGAAAUGGAGCAGAUCAAAGCUCUCUGGUUGAUCCACGUGGGAGUAGGCCCAUCAGUAGCUCUUGCAGCCAUUCCAGCCUGAGUGAGAUGGGGAAAACCAGUCUCAA
Molecule: unclassified non-coding RNA, 305 nt
Organism: Vombatus ursinus (common wombat)
Lineage: Eukaryota; Metazoa; Chordata; Mammalia; Diprotodontia; Vombatidae
Rfam family: Metazoan signal recognition particle RNA
About the family: The signal recognition particle (SRP) is a universally conserved ribonucleoprotein. It is involved in the co-translational targeting of proteins to membranes.
Source: Ensembl